CCUCCACAGUGCUAUAGUUCUAUGACUGCCAGAUGCCAAUCUAUUGGUCUGUAAUGACUGAAUUUCCAAGACAGAUUUGUUGACCAGUUUCUGGAGGCAAUCAAAUGGGACACAUGAACUUCUUCAUGGAUCAAGCACCAAUGGCACACAACAAUCAGACAUCAUUAUAUGGAGCAGCAAAAGGAAGGAUGUUUUCCUGGUUAAUCUUUUUUUAGAAACAGAUUUCUACAAGCAACAGUCUUUUCAUAUUUUUUGAAUAAUCCCCCUUGCAAAAGAGAUUAUUUAACUUUGAAAUGCAGCUGCUGCAUACCCUUCUUAACUACUCUCCAGAGCAAUUUUCCACUCCACAUUGUGCCCAGUCAUAUAUAUGCUAUCUUGCAAAAAGCCUGGUCCUCUGCCAAAGUCAAUUGAGAAAUUUAAUAGGUUCUUGGGAGUUGCUAAUGAAAUAUAUCUUUCCCCAAAACUUUUACUAUUGAAAAUAUCACAUGUGACAGUUUUUCAACAGUUAAUUUAAAAUUGGGUUGUACAUCUGAGACCUACCCCAGGCAGCAAGUUGAGCCUUUCAAAUUGCUCAUCUAUGAGCAUAUUUAACAUUAAAUGGCAAGAUAGGAUCAUAGAAUCCCAAAAUUAUAUUUAAAUAACCUUGUUCUAUCAACUUGGAAGAUAGUUGAGAACAGGAUAUAUAAACAGUAACUUGGUGAAAAAUAUAUGAUAGAACAAAGAGUAGGAAAAGAAAUGCUAUACACCAAGACUCACAAAUUUUUUUUUAAGUGCUAUUAUAAGGUUCUGACUUCUUUCUUUCCAUUGGGUAGUACAGGAGAUAGUGGGAAUAUGGUACACAAGCUAGUCACUGGAAAGAAUAGGGAAUAUGAUGAAAUUGUAACAUACUUCAUACUGAAAAUUAAUGUAGCUAAAAUGGUACACACAUACCACAGGUUGCCAUUACUUGGUAUGCUUAGAGCAAUACAGACAAAAACUAGAAGAUACCUCUUAUAGGCUAUGUUUUAUUUUUAAAUCAAGAAAUUAAAUGAAAUCAUUCUCAAGAUGUAUUUACUUCUUUCUAGAAACUAAAGUUCUGACUUUCUCAGCAUCCUAAGUCAUAAAAGCCUAGUCCAUGGAGUUGGAACUCCUGGAGUUGAUAUGUUGAUAGACAUUUCACAGAGUUAAAGUCAACACACUUUUCUGACCAAAUACAACACUGGCCAGUGCAGAUAUAAGAGGAAAAGUGCCCAACUAAUCCAAUAAUCAAUUUGU
Long non-coding RNA from Sarcophilus harrisii (Tasmanian devil), 1254 nucleotides. RefSeq lists it as uncharacterized. The transcript is spliced from 3 exons. The record is from RefSeq and is a predicted model, not a curated record. Lineage: Eukaryota; Metazoa; Chordata; Mammalia; Dasyuromorphia; Dasyuridae.